UACGGAGGGUGCAAGCGUUACUCGGAAUCACUGGGCGUAAAGGGCGCGUAGGCGGCUUGGUAAGUUGGAUGUGAAAGCCCACGGCUCAACCGUGGAACUGCGUCCAAAACUGCCAGGCUAGAGUCCGGGAGAGGCAGGUGGAAUUGGUGGUGUAGGGGUAAAAUCCGUAGAGAUCACCAGGAAUACCCAUUGCGAAGGCGACCUGCUGGAACGGUACUGACGCUGAGGCGCGAAAGCGUGGGGAGCAAACAGGAUUAGAUACCCUGGUAGUCCACGCCCUAAACGAUGGAUGCUAGUCGUUGGGAAGCUAGUCUUCCCAGUGAUGCAGCUAACGCAAUAAGCAUCCCGCCUGGGGAGUACGGCCGCAAGGCUAAAACUCAAAGGAAUAGACGGGGACCCGCACAAGCGGUGGAGCAUGUGGUUUAAUUCGAAGAUACGCGAAGAACCUUACCUGGGCUUGACAUCCCGAGAACCCUCCAGAGAUGGAGGGGUGCCCCCUUAUGGGGGAGCUCGGUGACAGGUGCUGCACGGCUGUCGUCAGCUCGUGUCGUGAGAUGUUGGGUUAAGUCCCGCAACGAGCGCAACCCUCGCCUCUAGUUGCCAGCACUUCGGGUGGGCACUCUAGAGGGACUGCCCGGGUAACCGGGAGGAAGGUGAGGAUGACGUCAAGUCAUCAUGGCCCUUAUGCCCAGGGCGACACACGUGCUACAAUGGCGCGUACAGAGAGAGGCGAUACCGCGAGGUGGAGCAAAUCUCUAAAGCGCGUCCCAGUUCGGAUUGCAGUCUGCAACUCGACUGCAUGAAGUCGGAAUCGCUAGUAAUCGCGGAUCAGCCAUGCCGCGGUGAAUACGUUCCCGGGUC
RNAcentral lists this ribosomal RNA (861 nucleotides) under uncultured bacterium. Its description in RNAcentral is "bacterial SSU rRNA". It matches the Rfam family "Bacterial small subunit ribosomal RNA", at positions 524 to 1380 of the family's 1533-position model. The record is from RNAcentral.